UCGAUUCCCUUAGUAGCGGCGAGCGAAACGGGAAGAGCCCAAACCAACAAGCUUGCUUGUUGGGGUUGUAGGACACUCUAUACGGAGUUACAAAGGACGACAUUAGACGAAUCAUCUGGAAAGAUGAAUCAAAGAAGGUAAUAAUCCUGUAGUCGAAAAUGUUGUCUCUCUUGAGUGGAUCCUGAGUACGACGGAGCACGUGAAAUUCCGUCGGAAUCUGGGAGGACCAUCUCCUAAGGCUAAAUACUCUCUAGUGACCGAUAGUGAACCAGUACCGUGAGGGAAAGGUGAAAAGCACCCCGGAAGGGGAGUGAAAUAGAACCUGAAACCGUGUGCUUACAAGUAGUCAGAGCCCGUUAAUGGGUGAUGGCGUGCCUUUUGUAGAAUGAACCGGCGAGUUACGAUUUGAUGCAAGGUUAAGCAGUAAAUGUGGAGCCGUAGCGAAAGCGAGUCUGAAUAGGGCGUUUAGU
RNAcentral lists this ribosomal RNA (470 nucleotides) under Staphylococcus aureus. RNAcentral describes it as "partial 23S ribosomal RNA". It matches the Rfam family "Bacterial large subunit ribosomal RNA", at positions 231 to 700 of the family's 2925-position model. The record is from RNAcentral. Lineage: Bacteria; Bacillati; Bacillota; Bacilli; Caryophanales; Staphylococcaceae.